GCGACAGGCCUAACACAUGCAAGUCGAGGGGCAGCACAAGGAGCAAUCUGAGGUGGCGACCGGCGCACGGGUGAGUAACACGUAUGCAACCUGCCUGUAAGCGGGGAAUAACCCGUUGAAAGACGGACUAAUACCGCAUAAUACUAAAUACUGCAUGGUAAUUUAUUUAAACAUUUAUGGCUUACAGAUGGGCAUGCGCAUGAUUAGCUAGUUGGAGAGGUAACGGCUCCCCAAGGCAACGAUCAUUAGGGGUUCUGAGAGGAAGGUCCCCCACACUGGUACUGAGACACGGACCAGACUCCUACGGGAGGCAGCAGUGAGGAAUAUUGGUCAAUGGACGAGAGUCUGAACCAGCCAAGUCGCGUGCAGGAAGAAUGUCCUUAAUGGAUUGUAAACUGCUUUUGCAGGGGAAUAAAGUGCAUCACGUGUGAUGUUUUGUAUGUACUCUGCGAAUAAGGAUCGGCUAACUCCGUGCCAGCCGCAGC
This 485-nucleotide ribosomal RNA is filed under the name uncultured bacterium. RNAcentral's name for it is "bacterial SSU rRNA". It matches the Rfam family "Bacterial small subunit ribosomal RNA", at positions 39 to 518 of the family's 1533-position model. The record is from RNAcentral.